GGGUUGUGAGGUUAAGCGACUAAGCGUACACGGUGGAUGCCCUGGCAGUCAGAGGCGAUGAAGGGCGUGCUAAUCUGCGAUAAGCGCCGGUAAGGUGAUAUGAACCGUUAUAACCGGCGAUACCCGAAUGGGGAAACCCAGUGUGACUCGUCACACUAUCAUUAACU
Molecule: ribosomal RNA, 167 nt
Filed under: Salmonella enterica subsp. enterica serovar Heidelberg
Lineage: Bacteria; Pseudomonadati; Pseudomonadota; Gammaproteobacteria; Enterobacterales; Enterobacteriaceae
Also listed under: 14 other names
Description: partial 23S ribosomal RNA
Rfam family: Bacterial large subunit ribosomal RNA
Source: RNAcentral